This 72-nucleotide transfer RNA is filed under the name Bos taurus (domestic cattle). It matches the Rfam family "tRNA". From Rfam's summary of the family: Transfer RNA (tRNA) molecules are approximately 80 nucleotides in length. Their secondary structure includes four short double-helical elements and three loops (D, anti-codon, and T loops). Further hydrogen bonds mediate the characteristic L-shaped molecular structure. tRNAs have two regions of fundamental functional importance: the anti-codon, which is responsible for specific mRNA codon recognition, and the 3' end, to which the tRNAs corresponding amino acid is attached (by aminoacyl-tRNA synthetases). tRNAs cope with the degeneracy of the genetic code in two manners: having more than one tRNA (with a specific anti-codon) for a particular amino acid; and 'wobble' base-pairing, i.e. permitting non-standard base-pairing at the 3rd anti-codon position. The record is from Rfam by way of RNAcentral. RNAcentral also lists the same sequence under 1 other name. Lineage: Eukaryota; Metazoa; Chordata; Mammalia; Artiodactyla; Bovidae.
UCCCUGGUGGCUCAGAUGGUAAAGCGUCUGCCUACAGUGUAGGAGACCUGGGUUCAAUCCCUGGGUUGGGAA